AGUGAGAUAGCUGGAUCAGAUGGUGGUACCAUUCCAAAUUUUGUGAGGAAUAUUCAUACUGCUUUCCAUAAUGGUUGCACCAAUUUGCUGUCCCACAGCAAU
This 102-nucleotide microRNA precursor is filed under the name Marmota monax (woodchuck). The record is from RNAcentral. Lineage: Eukaryota; Metazoa; Chordata; Mammalia; Rodentia; Sciuridae.